Anas platyrhynchos (mallard) is the source of this 565-nucleotide long non-coding RNA. RefSeq lists it as uncharacterized. The record is from RefSeq and is a predicted model, not a curated record. Lineage: Eukaryota; Metazoa; Chordata; Aves; Anseriformes; Anatidae.
CCUCAUGUGGUAGAAAUAAGGUUUUAAGAUGAAGGUUGUGUAAACACAGCUAUAAGGCUAGUCAAGUUUUGGGAAAGAAAUGUGGUAUUUUUCCUUUAAUUAUUGUAGAGAUUGACACAAAAUUUACUAUGACCUUUGAGUGAUAUGGUACGAGCUUGUUAGCUCCAGCACCUGUGAUGGGCUGGAAAGAGAAUUUUCUUCAUGUUUGUUCACAAAAAUGUGGAACACUGUAACCAAAGGAGAGGGAGGUGUCCUAAAAAGGUUUUUACAAUGGACAUGUGUAUUUGAUCAAUCUGUCUUCAACAAAGCAAGAUGUCAAAGAACCAUCUGAGAAAAGAAAGUAGAGGAUAAUUCAGAACUAUCUUAAAAUCCUCAAACUGUACUUUUCAGAUUGAAUGGCUGUUUUCAAAUUACUGGAUGGAGGUUGUUGCAUAGGUUUCACAGUGCCUCUGUAACCCUUAAUGAGGACAUCUGAGCACACAGCAGCCAUCUGAGUUAAGAGCCUCUGAGGGAAACAUAUAACAUAUAAAGAAUUAGCUGGUGUACAGAUCAACUUAAAACUCUG